Molecule: ribosomal RNA, 447 nt
Filed under: uncultured soil bacterium
Lineage: Bacteria
Description: bacterial SSU rRNA
Rfam family: Bacterial small subunit ribosomal RNA
Source: RNAcentral
AGAACGAACGCUGGCGGCAUGCCUAAUACAUGCAAGUCGAACGAACACUUCGGUGUUAGUGGCGCACGGGUGCGUAACGCGUGGGAAUCUGCCCUUGGGUUCGGAAUAACAGUUGGAAACGACUGCUAAUACCGGAUGAUAUCGAAAGAUCAAAGAUUUAUCGCCCAGGGAUGAGCCCGCGUAGGAUUAGCUAGUUGGUGAGGUAAAGGCUCACCAAGGCGACGAUCCUUAGCUGGUCUGAGAGGAUGAUCAGCCACACUGGGACUGAGACACGGCCCAGACUCCUACGGGAGGCAGCAGUAGGGAAUAUUGGACAAUGGGCGCAAGCCUGAUCCAGCAAUGCCGCGUGAGUGAUGAAGGCCUUAGGGUUGUAAAGCUCUUUUUACCCGAGAUGAUAAUGACAGUAUCGGAGAAUAAGCCCCGGCUAACUCCGUGCCAGCAGCCGAC